RNAcentral lists this ribosomal RNA (614 nucleotides) under uncultured fungus. RNAcentral describes it as "eukaryotic LSU rRNA". It matches the Rfam family "Eukaryotic large subunit ribosomal RNA", at positions 24 to 664 of the family's 3401-position model. The record is from RNAcentral. Lineage: Eukaryota; Fungi.
CCCGCUGAACUUAAGCAUAUCAAUAAGCGGAGGAAAAGAAACCAACAGGGAUUGCCCUAGUAACGGCGAGUGAAGCGGCAACAGCUCAAAUUUGAAAUCUGGCCCUAGGCCCGAAUUGUAAUUUGUAGAGGAUGCUUCUGGUGACGUGCCUUCUGAGUUCCCUGGAACGGGACGCCAGAGAGGGUGAGAGCCCCGUAUAGUCGGCCACUGAACCUCUGUGAAGCCCCUUCGACGAGUCGAGUAGUUUGGGAAUGCUGCUCAAAAUGGGAGGUAAACUUCUUCUAAAGCUAAAUACCGGCCAGAGACCGAUAGCGCACAAGUAGAGUGAUCGAAAGAUGAAAAGCACUUUGAAAAGAGGGUUAAAAAGUACGUGAAACAAUUGAAAAGGAAGCACUUGUGACCAGACUUGUGCCGCGCGAAUCAUCCAGCGUUCUCGCUGGUGCACUUUGCGCGGUUCAGGCCAGCAUCGGUUUUCCUAGGGGGACAUAAGCUCUGGGAACGUGGCUCCUCCAGGAGUGUUAUAGCCCUCUGCACAAUACCCUCGGGGGGACCGAGGUUCGCGCUCUGCAUGGAUGCUGGCGUAAUGGUCAUCAGUGGCCCGUCAUGCAGCAGGG